UGGUAUUGAGGUUCCUGGCAAAGGCUUGAACCAAAGUUCUAUUUUAGAAGACAUGGAAAGCCUGUUUUAAAGGAAGCGCUGGAAUUAGCCAAUACGUGUGGCUAGCCUGAAUCUCACUAAGUUCUCUUGAUCUUAUUACAGGUCCAAGCAGUUGCAUUAAAUCAACAUGUGACAUUCUUCUUAAUAGGUCUUUUCAUCACUCGAUGGUCAUGGCAUACUCUACUGUCGGUGCCCCUGAUUUUAUUGCUUCAGAGGUUUUGCUGAAGACGAGUUGUGGAAUGGAAUGUGAUUGGUGGUCACUUGGUCAUCAUAUUUGUAGUGUAAGAGUUCCUGUCAUACCUUUUAGUAAAUUCGUCUCUCUUGCUUCAUAUUUGCAGUGUAGUCUUAGGCUCCAUUUGGUCAUCACAUCAAUCUUUAUGAAUAUAUUUUUUUCUCAAACCAAAUGGAGCGUAAGCCAUUUUUUAACUCUGCCAUUGCAACUUCUUGGAUUGCCGGUACCAAGCCCUGGUAAAGGAGGAGGGAGAAGGGCUUCAGGAGCUGGGAGGAAGCGUUUUUUCCAGCCUAGAGGGAGACCACAUCACAUUGGUUAAUGUAUAUCAGGCAUCUGUAGAGUGCUUGGAGACUAGCAAGACGGCUAACAGUAAAAAAAGACAAUUGGGAAAUGCUUGAGCAAAUGGCAAAUUAGCAACAUAACAAACGGGACCCCAUCAUUGGCAUUUAUUAGGAACAAGAAGAACUAAAGUACCUUGAAAGAAGAGUUUCUCAAUUUGAUGAGGAGUGAUCUCAUACAAGCACCUUUUGAUGGCCUACUGCCUGGAACAGUCCGCUUUGGCUGCCACAUCGUCUAAACUUCAUAUGAAUGAAAAGCCCCUUAGUUCUCCCAGAUGGAGAAUCAUUUAAUUAGAUGAGGGGCUUCUUUCUUUUUUUCUGAAUUGGUGAAUAAGGUGUAAGGAAGAGACCAUCUAGUCGUAAAAUUCAUUGCAGAGGAAUUGGGUCUGGAGGGCUCUUAUGUUCCCCGUACUUAUAUUGAACAGAUUCAGCUUGAGAAGCUUGUAAAUGAUGUUAUGGCACUACCAAAUGAUUUGAAGACAAAGCUCAGCAUCGACGAUGAUAUAGCAUCAAGUCUCAAAGACGCACUUUCCUGGGCCUCUGCAGGCAUGAUUGCCUUGAGAAAUAAGAAUCUUAAGAGACACCCAGGAAUCUUCUGCAAUGGUUGCACACAUGUUCCAAAAGAUCACUCAUGCCAUGCUUGCAUUCCCAAAAACUCUCUUGAUCCGGUCACUCGUCAGCAACUACUUAUGCCAAUAUUCCAUCAAGAAUCAUUGCUAAGUCUAAGGUUGUCAAUGGGCUGAGCUUGGGCUUGCAAAAUCAAAUUUUCAAAUAUCCUAG
Magnolia sinica is the source of this 1389-nucleotide long non-coding RNA. RefSeq lists it as uncharacterized. NCBI's taxonomy places the organism in Eukaryota, Viridiplantae, Streptophyta, Magnoliopsida, Magnoliales, Magnoliaceae. The record is from RefSeq and is a predicted model, not a curated record. The transcript is spliced from 10 exons.